GCUGACGUGGGGCGGGGGUGGGUGGUAAGGCGUAGGGGGGUUGCGUUGUGCGGGGUGUUUGGGGGGGAAGAUGUUGUAGGCGGCCAGGAAGGGCUGGGGUGAAAACUGGAGGCUGAACCGGGAGACGGCGGCGGAAACCAGCUGGCUAGAGGCCGGAAGAGGAGAGUGGAAUUCCUGGUGUGGCGGUGAAAUGCGCAGAUAUCAGGAAGAACACCCGUGGCGAAGGCGGCUCUCUGGGACGGUACUGACGCUGAGACGCGAAAGCGUGGGGAGCGAACAGGAUUAGAUACCCCUGUAGUC
Molecule: ribosomal RNA, 300 nt
Filed under: uncultured Bacillus sp.
Lineage: Bacteria; Bacillati; Bacillota; Bacilli; Caryophanales; Bacillaceae
Description: bacterial SSU rRNA
Rfam family: Bacterial small subunit ribosomal RNA (bases 59-300)
Source: RNAcentral